RNAcentral lists this long non-coding RNA (1258 nucleotides) under Malus domestica (apple). Its description in RNAcentral is "long non-coding RNA (MDOM_LNC005716)". The record is from RNAcentral. Lineage: Eukaryota; Viridiplantae; Streptophyta; Magnoliopsida; Rosales; Rosaceae.
AAGAGUAUUAAUAGAUUAAAUUGUUAAAUGUUAGGAGUAAGAGAAAUCAAUAAAAAAGAUCAAGUUCGCACCAAGAUGUAUAGGUUGAUGGUAACUUUAUUUUGUUAUCAAUUUUACCGAAUGGAAAGUUACCUUUUCUUUAGCGGGAGAAAAAGUGAAAUGCAAUAGAAAUAAAUGAAGUCGAUGCAACUUUAUUUAACCCGUGAUUAACCUAAUGUCACUUGGAAAUCUCGUGCAAUUCAAUGAAUAAGAAAACUUGCGUACAAAGUAUGAUUACUUGUCAAGUCCUUGAGGUUUACCCUGAUUUGCCUAUAGCUUUGGAAAUUUACACCACCACCUAAUGAGAGUUAAUAUGGCAAUGUAUCUAGAACACCGUUGUAUAGUAGAAUAUAUUAAACUCUGCCAAUUAUUCGUAUUAUAUCAUGACACAUAAAAUAAUAACACUAUAUGACAUUAUUCUCGUACACAAAAACUUCUCAAUAUUGCUAGUUCAUUAUGUAUAUAUUUAUUCAAUCUACUGAUUCUAUUGAUUAAAACUUUGACAAGUUGCCAUAUUUGGGAUGAGUAGACUUCGAGCUAUGGUUUUCUUUAUUUAGUUAAUUAAUUUAGGUCGGGCAUUAUUGGAUUGAUAUACAGCCUUUGUCAAUACAAAACUGAAAUGCAACCUAAUCAACCACUUUGUUUAACUGCUUAUAAUUGUCUCUCCUUUCUUAAACCAGUUAUAUUUAAGAGUAAUGCUAAACAUAUUUUUCUUCACACACGUGUGGUUCUCAGCUACUGAUGUAUACGAGUUCCUCAAUGCAUAUAUCAGCGACAAAGAUAUAGAGCAUUCACGCUUGUUAGCACACCUCAUCAUUUAAUUAGCUAGACAAUAUUCCAUAAUUUGAUCUACAUAUAUGAAACCUUAGCCAAGUAUCCUAUAACUACCUUAUCAAACAGUUUACUUACUUUCAAAUAAUGUAAGUUACAAGGUGAUUUGCUACAGUCCAUUAAAGGUGGGGCAUAACCCUUACAAAGUGAUUUGCUACAUUCCGUUAAAGGUGGGCCAUAACCCACUAACCUGAGGAUGUAAGACAUGAUUAAUUUGACCUCAACAGGAGAUGACAAUGAGUUGUUCACUUACAUAACUCAUUCACAAGUUGAGUACCUUAUUCCCAGUCAAAGAUUCGGGUUCAUUACACUACUUCUUAGGAUUAUAAGUUCAUAGAUCCAAAGAUGAUCUUUUUCUUCAUCAAGUGUAAAUAUUUACUUGAUCCGC